Long non-coding RNA from Benincasa hispida (wax gourd), 779 nucleotides. RefSeq lists it as uncharacterized. The record is from RefSeq and is a predicted model, not a curated record. Lineage: Eukaryota; Viridiplantae; Streptophyta; Magnoliopsida; Cucurbitales; Cucurbitaceae.
UUAAAAUAAAAAGAAACUCAUCCCUUCUUCCCUAGCAAGAAACCCUUCUCCCCCAAACUUUUUCCUCUUGCCGCUGCUGCCACCCUCAUUGCCCAAACCGACCUCGCCGCCGCCUCUCCCACUGCCCAGACCGACAUCACCGCUGCCCACGUCUGCCAGACCUGAAACUGCCAGUUUUUGUCUCGUCGUCGAUCAGCUGGCGCAAUCGUAGCUCUAGACGACGUCACGUCGUCACGUCUGAAGGUCUCAGUCAAUGGUCGGUUGUGUCGCAUGCCACAGAUCUGUCGAGCUACGUGUUGAUCUUCCUUCACCGUUUGUCGUAUCGUUGCCGAGCCAGUCGCCUGUUAGUUUCGUCUACGCCACUCUUCUCCAACAAGCCGACGCCGCCGGAUCUCUUCAACCCAGACCACUCACCGCCCUCAGACGUCUUUGGCUCCUUCUCGUUGGAUUUUGUUUUGAUUUCGCCGGAAUCCUUGAUUUUGGGUAGCGGUCAUUCCCCAGAAGACGACUCUGAUGUUGCUCUACCACUCAAGACCAAAAUGUUAGAAAGUCUAAGUGAGGGUUAUGUAUAAAGCAGUACACAUGUAUUAUGUCAUGUAGGGACUAGUGGAUUGUGUUGGGCUUACUACUUAUGUAAAGUAUAGUUGUAUUAUUGAAGAGUAAUGUAGAACUCUGUUAAUAAUUUUCAUUUGUCUUAAGUUGAUGAUUGAGUAUAUAUAUAUAUAUAUAUAUAUAUAUAUGCAUUUCAAGGUUCUAAGUCACGUUAAGCAGGUUAGUAG